AUACUUACCUGGCAGGGAAGAUGCCAUGACCAUGAAGGUGGUUUGCCCAGGGCGAGGCUCACCCAUUGCCCUCCAGAUGUGCUUCCCUGUGAUUUCCCCAAAUUUCAGAAACUUGACUGCAUAAUUUGUGGUAGCGAAAGACAGUUUUUGUACUUUCCUGAG
This is a small nuclear RNA of Pteronotus mesoamericanus, 162 nucleotides long. RefSeq annotates it as U1 spliceosomal RNA. The transcript has a single exon. The record is from RefSeq and is a predicted model, not a curated record. Lineage: Eukaryota; Metazoa; Chordata; Mammalia; Chiroptera; Mormoopidae.